GUUAGAUUCUUCUAUGAUAUGCUAAUGGAACCAACACGGAGAAAGAACCACCACAAAGCCCCAGCACCCUCUAGGAAAAAGGUGAAAGACCAUUUAAUUUAUUCCUUUGGGAUGCUAAGAACAAGCAUGCAUGCCCACUUGCCUAUCAUAUAGUACAUGCACAGGCGUGCAUGCAAAUCCCAAAGAUACCCAAGAAAUUAUCUGCUAAAUCCUUUUUUUUUUUUAAAUCUUUUUGC
RNAcentral lists this unclassified non-coding RNA (236 nucleotides) under Hevea brasiliensis (rubber tree). Lineage: Eukaryota; Viridiplantae; Streptophyta; Magnoliopsida; Malpighiales; Euphorbiaceae. The record is from RNAcentral.